Molecule: ribosomal RNA, 505 nt
Filed under: uncultured bacterium
Lineage: Bacteria
Description: partial 16S ribosomal RNA
Rfam family: Bacterial small subunit ribosomal RNA
Source: RNAcentral
GACGAACGCUGGCGGCGUGCCUAAUACAUGCAAGUAGAACGCACAGUUUAUACCGUAGCUUGCUACACCAUACACUGUGAGUUGCGAACGGGUGAGUAACGCGUAGGUAACCUGCCUGGUAGCGGGGGAUAACUAUUGGAAACGAUAGCUAAUACCGGAUAAUAUUAAUUAUUGCAUGAUAAUUGAUUGAAAGAUGCAAUUGCAUCACUACCAGAUGGACCUGCGUUGUAUUAGCUAGUAGGUGAGGUAACGGCUCACCUAGGCGACGAUACAUAGCCGACCUGAGAGGGUGAUCGGCCACACUGGGACUGAGACACGGCCCAGACUCCUACGGGAGGCAGCAGUAGGGAAUCUUCGGCAAUGGACGAAAGUCUGACCGAGCAACGCCGCGUGAGUGAAGAAGGUUUUCGGAUCGUAAAGCUCUGUUGUAAGAGAAGAACGGGUGUGAGAGUGGAAAGUUCACACUGUGACGGUAUCUUACCAGAAAGGGACGGCUAACUACGUG